AAGCCGUAACAACGUUUCCAGGAUCAUUAACACGUAUCCACGUAAACCCCUGUGAACAUGUACGUGUCUGGUUUGUUGAGUGGCAACGACGGUUUAUGUGAGGAUUGAGCCUGCGUGGCUCUCCAACCGCGUUGCCUGGCUCUACGAGAGUAAAACUUAACAAAUUCGGGCAUUUUUAACCAUACCUCGUUACCCCAAUUGACUAACAUAGAAAUAAGAGCGUGUUCUCACGAUCUUUAUUUCGACACGCAAAACGCAGCAACGGAUAUCUUGGUUCAC
Molecule: unclassified non-coding RNA, 279 nt
Filed under: fungal sp.
Lineage: Eukaryota; Fungi
Description: partial internal transcribed spacer region
Source: RNAcentral